GUAAACACAACGAUAAGGAAGAGUACAGUAUGUCUCAUGUACGUAGCGAUUCAGGGAUGGUGAAAGCCUGAUUACAUAGCAUAUUGGAAAAUCACCCUUUAGUAUUGCGCUGAACGUUUUAGUAAGCUGCAACGCCUCAUUCACGUUAAGAAUGCUUGAGUGGAAAGGGUUUACCUUUUCAUGAGGGUGGUACCACGGGUUAACUUCUCGUCCCUUUU
This 218-nucleotide non-coding RNA is filed under the name Halalkalibacter hemicellulosilyticus. RNAcentral describes it as "Bacillus hemicellulosilyticus T-box sequence". It matches the Rfam family "T-box leader". Rfam says of the family: Uncharged tRNA acts as the effector for transcription antitermination of genes in the T-box leader family. Lineage: Bacteria; Bacillati; Bacillota; Bacilli; Caryophanales; Bacillaceae. The record is from RNAcentral.